This 723-nucleotide ribosomal RNA is filed under the name Escherichia sp. RNAcentral's name for it is "bacterial SSU rRNA". It matches the Rfam family "Bacterial small subunit ribosomal RNA", at positions 29 to 741 of the family's 1533-position model. Lineage: Bacteria; Pseudomonadati; Pseudomonadota; Gammaproteobacteria; Enterobacterales; Enterobacteriaceae. The record is from RNAcentral.
UUGAACGCUGGCGGCAGGCCUAACACAUGCAAGUCGAACGGUAACAGGAAGAGCUUGCUUCUUUGCUGACGAGUGGCGGACGGGUGAGUAAUGUCUGGGAAACUGCCUGAUGGAGGGGGAUAACUACUGGAAACGGUAGCUAAUACCGCAUAACGUCGCAAGACCAAAGAGGGGGACCUUCGGGCCUCUUGCCAUCGGAUGUGCCCAGAUGGGAUUAGCUAGUAGGUGGGGUAACGGCUCACCUAGGCGACGAUCCCUAGCUGGUCUGAGAGGAUGACCAGCCACACUGGAACUGAGACACGGUCCAGACUCCUACGGGAGGCAGCAGUGGGGAAUAUUGCACAAUGGGCGCAAGCCUGAUGCAGCCAUGCCGCGUGUAUGAAGAAGGCCUUCGGGUUGUAAAGUACUUUCAGCGGGGAGGAAGGGAGUAAAGUUAAUACCUUUGCUCAUUGACGUUACCCGCAGAAGAAGCACCGGCUAACUCCGUGCCAGCAGCCGCGGUAAUACGGAGGGUGCAAGCGUUAAUCGGAAUUACUGGGCGUAAAGCGCACGCAGGCGGUUUGUUAAGUCAGAUGUGAAAUCCCCGGGCUCAACCUGGGAACUGCAUCUGAUACUGGCAAGCUUGAGUCUCGUAGAGGGGGGUAGAAUUCCAGGUGUAGCGGUGAAAUGCGUAGAGAUCUGGAGGAAUACCCGGUGGCGAAGGCGGCCCCCUGGACGAAGACU